UGAGGAAUAUUGGUCAAUGGACGAGAGUCUGAACCAGCCAAGUAGCGUGAAGGAUGAAGGUUCUAUGGAUUGUAAACUUCUUUUAUACGGGAAUAAAGUGGUCCACGUGUGGGCUUUUGCAUGUACCGUAUGAAUAAGCAUCGGCUAACUCCGUGCCAGCAGCCGCGGUAAUACGGAGGAUGCGAGCGUUAUCCGGAUUUAUUGGGUUUAAAGGGAGCGCAGACGGGGGAUUAAGUCAGUUGUGAAAGUUUGCGGCUCAACCGUAAAAUUGCAGUUGAUACUGGUUCCCUUGAGUGCAGUUGAGGCAGGCGGAAUUCGUGGUGUAGCGGUGAAAUGCAUAGAUAUCACGAAGAACCCCGAUUGCGAAGGCAGCCUGCUAAGCUGUAACUGACGUUGAGGCUCGAAAGUGUGGGUAUCAAACAGGAUUAGAUACCCUGGUAGUCCACACGGUAAACGAUGAAUACUCGCUGUAGGCGAUAUACAGUCUGCGGCCAAGCGAAAGCAUUAAGUAUUCCACCUGGGGAGUACGCCGGCAACGGUGAAACUCAAAGGAAUUGACGGGGGCCCGCACAAGCGGAGGAACAUGUGGUUUAAUUCGAUGAUACGCGAGGAACCUUACCCGGGCUUAAAUUGCAGACGAAUUACUUGGAAACAGGUAAGCCGCAAGGCGUCUGUGAAGGUGCUGCAUGGUUGUCGUCAGCUCGUGCCGUGAGGUGUCGGCUUAAGUGCCAUAACGAGCGCAACCCUCGUGGCCAGUUACUAGCAGGUAACGCUGAGGACUCUGGCCAGAUUGCCAUCGCAAGAUGCGAGGAAGGUGGGGAUGACGUCAAAUCAGCACGGCCCUUACGUCCGGGGCUACACACGUGUUACAAUGGGAGGUACAGAAGGCAGCUACCCGGCGACGGGAUGCCAAUCUCCAAAGCCUCUCUCAGUUCGGACUGGAGUCUGCAACCCGACUCCACGAAGCUGGAUUCGCUAGUAAUCGCGCAUCAGCCACGGCGCGGUGAAUACGUUCCC
This 1017-nucleotide ribosomal RNA is filed under the name uncultured bacterium. RNAcentral describes it as "bacterial SSU rRNA". It matches the Rfam family "Bacterial small subunit ribosomal RNA", at positions 355 to 1375 of the family's 1533-position model. The record is from RNAcentral.